This 729-nucleotide long non-coding RNA is filed under the name Pan troglodytes (chimpanzee). RNAcentral describes it as "long non-coding RNA NONPTRT015900". Lineage: Eukaryota; Metazoa; Chordata; Mammalia; Primates; Hominidae. The record is from RNAcentral.
UCCUUUGGGGCUGCAUAUUCAGCAACUGAUAGGAGAGGAGUUGGACCAGUUUUUUUUUUUUUUCUCUGAAACAGGGUCUUGCUCUGCCGCCCAGGCUGGAGUGCAGUGCUGCUAUCACAGCUCACUGCAGCCUUGACCUCCCAGGCUCAAGCAGUCUCCCCCCACCUCAGCUGGGAUCACAGAGCUAGCAACAUGGACCACAGAUAUACUGGUGACUCCGCUCUCCUCUGGCCAAGCUACAAAUCAUCACCUGAGGCAGAGAUGCUACUACCCUCUUCUGGGGCUCAACUACCGAUGGGCAUCAGUAAUCCAUCCCAGUAUAACAUUUCAAGGAUGCGCUGGAGACAAUACAUGGACUUUCUCUUUCAAUGGUGAGGAAUGAAACAAGAUACAAGAACCACAGCAUGGAAUAUGUUUUCUUUUACAUCCAAUGGCCAGGUCAUAAAGGAUGCCUUGAGACCUCCACCCUGGCCCCCACAGUGCUUUGGGACAGGAUGACUAACGCAGUCCAGCUUCAUGUGCAAUCAAGUCCCGGGAAGAAAUUUACAUUUCAAACUCUGAAAAAUCAGUGUCUAGGUUGGCAGCAGUACUCUGGAAACUGAUAAAACCAAAUUCGGUCCUAUAUUUCAAUUUCCCCUUCUAAGUUAAUACAUGAUUGCUGCCCAUCAUACAGUACUUCAACCCUAAACUACAGCAAUUUCUGUCAACAUUUCUGUUGUAUAAAAGUUC